This 548-nucleotide unclassified non-coding RNA is filed under the name Hevea brasiliensis (rubber tree). The record is from RNAcentral. Lineage: Eukaryota; Viridiplantae; Streptophyta; Magnoliopsida; Malpighiales; Euphorbiaceae.
AUCAUCUGAAUCAGCUGUUUCACUGCCAAUGGGACCCAAUUGCCAUUUCAGCACCAUAAUAGGGAGGCUAAUUGUUACGAAUAUAGAAAUAAAUAUAAUAUAGAAAUAAAUAUAACAUAGAAUUUGAAUUUGAGGAAAAUUUUCUCCUAUCAAAAUUUUGGAAAGAAAAUGAAUAUAAGAGGAUUUUGAAUAAAAGAAGCUAGAUUUCUGUUUUGUGUUCUGCCUAUAAAAAUACAUGAUAUGGCACGAUUCCAAGAUGCAUGUUAGACAAGAAUGUUUACAUAAAACAGUAGUCCAUCUUUCACAACUUACAGAUAGAAGGUAUUGACAAGACUCGACAUUGCUUGCUUUCUCGAAACAUAUUUCAUUUUGCUUUCUAACAUGAAUUGAUAAAUUCCCAAAGCCUGCUCCUGGACAUCAGCGUCCCAUAAACCCAUCCAUAUCUCCCUACUACUAGAAAUCAUUUCGGGAAUAAAUUCCAAUAGAGAAUAAGAAUUCUGCUUGGGAACCAGAUUCGAAAAAUAAUCAAAAAAAAAAAAAAGAAGAAA